RNAcentral lists this ribosomal RNA (480 nucleotides) under uncultured bacterium. RNAcentral describes it as "bacterial SSU rRNA". It matches the Rfam family "Bacterial small subunit ribosomal RNA", at positions 166 to 680 of the family's 1533-position model. The record is from RNAcentral.
AUACCGGAUGAUGACCUAAGUCCAAAGAUUUAUCGCCCAAGGAUGAGCCCGCGUAAGAUUAGCUUGUUGGUGAGGUAAAGGCUCACCAAGGCGACGAUCUUUAGCUGGUCUGAGAGGAUGAUCAGCCACACUGGGACUGAGACACGGCCCAGACUCCUACGGGAGGCAGCAGUGGGGAAUAUUGGACAAUGGGCGAAAGCCUGAUCCAGCAAUGCCGCGUGAGUGAUGAAGGCCUUAGGGUUGUAAAGCUCUUUUACCAGGGAUGAUAAUGACAGUACCUGGAGAAUAAGCUCCGGCUAACUCCGUGCCAGCAGCCGCGGUAAUACGGAGGGAGCUAGCGUUGUUCGGAAUUACUGGGCGUAAAGCGUACGUAGGCGGUGACUCAAGUCAGAGGUGAAAGCCUGGAGCUCAACUCCAGAACUGCCUUUGAAACUAGGUCGCUAGAAUCACGGAGAGGUGAGUGGAAUUCCGAGUGUAGAG